This 1144-nucleotide long non-coding RNA is filed under the name Lupinus mutabilis. Its description in RNAcentral is "partial ncRNA". The record is from RNAcentral. Lineage: Eukaryota; Viridiplantae; Streptophyta; Magnoliopsida; Fabales; Fabaceae.
CUCUUCUUCAAGAAAUUAUUUACCUCGGAAUCAAGUUUAAACUCGGUUCUUGCAGGUUCAGAUUUACACCUAGUAAGAACUACAGGAUGUGGUGCUUCAUCCCCCUCUCCAUUUUCUCUUUUCUUCAACCCUUCAAUGUUUUCUGUUUUGUUCAUUGAACCAAUUCUACCUCUGAGUAGUGAAUCCUCAAGCUCUUUGAAAAAUUCCACCUUUUCUUCAUUUUCAGAUACCCUUUUCCCUUCUUCAUCAGAAACUGGGUUUCUCUCCAUAUGGGGUCUCUCAUUUUCUGAGGAACUGGAUCCUCUGUUUUCAAUUUCAUUCCCCUGUUUUUCCUCUGUUUCUUCUUCAGUUCUUAACGGUGAACCCCAAAAUCUACUUGCUAAAGAAGAAGAUCUAUAAGGUUCGGAUCUACAACGAGUUAAUAACAAAGCAUUACUUGGUGGGGUGCAAGUUUUUGAAGCAAAAGAAGAAGCAUCGUCACCAUUCAUUACUCUCUCUUCAUGUUCUUGUUCAUCUUCAUCUUCUUCUUUUUCUUCUUCAUGCUCUGCUUCUAACUCUGUUUUUGUUGAACCUUCUUUCAUCUUUGAAGAUUUUCUUCUGAACCUUCCAACCCUAAACAAGAAACCCCAUUUAAGCCAAACGGGUUGACAAUGACAAAGUUUGAUUUUUUGAAAAUCACUUUUUCGGAUCCACACGCACCGGCACCGUGUCGGAGCACCAUCUUUUGCGGCGGCGCGUGGUGUUCUAUUUGGUUGUUUAGAUUUAGAGGGACGUUUAACUCUAACUUGACCCAUGCAUGUGACUUUAGGUGAAGUAGGUUCUUGUGUAGUUUCAAUGAUUGUGUUUUUCUUCCUUACAAACAUUGUUCUAGAGUUUGACCUUGACCUUCCUCUGCUUCUGCUUCCAACAUUGCUUCUCAAGAAUCUCAUCAAUGGUGGUGGAAACUUAUCUGUUCUACCCGGACUUGAAAUGGGUUUUGUUGGUAGCUUCAUUUUGUUAUUGUUUCUUCUUCUAUGUUGUUCUUUUUUUCACUUUCUCUAUGUUGAUGUUAUGUUUAGGAAAAUGUUGGGUGUGGCUAUUAAUGUUGUUUUGUGAAAUGCAAUGAAGAUAUGGUGUGGUUGGGUUAGGGAGAUUUGUCUUUCUG